Molecule: long non-coding RNA, 225 nt
Filed under: Carica papaya (papaya)
Lineage: Eukaryota; Viridiplantae; Streptophyta; Magnoliopsida; Brassicales; Caricaceae
Description: long non-coding RNA (CPAP_LNC014918)
Source: RNAcentral
UAAAUAAUGUCAUGACUAUAGAUAUUUGUUAGGGUUAUUAUGGCUGAUACGACUGUGGUCAUAGAUCGUACCAUGGUUUGGCAAGUUGGAAAUGAGCCUGAACAAAUUGUCAUAUCUAAAUUUUGAUCUAGUCAUUUCACUUGGGUAGUUGGAAAUUUGUAUCUACCCUCAGAGACGGAAGUUGUAACGACUUUGCAAAGCAUGACACAAAAAUAUGAGCAUUUC